This is a long non-coding RNA of Aegilops tauschii subsp. strangulata, 1792 nucleotides long. RefSeq lists it as uncharacterized. NCBI's taxonomy places the organism in Eukaryota, Viridiplantae, Streptophyta, Magnoliopsida, Poales, Poaceae. The record is from RefSeq and is a predicted model, not a curated record.
CUUUACUCUCGCUUUCCCUUCGGUUCUUCCCCUCCCACCCAAACCCAAUCCCUAAUUCUCCGGCCGACCGGCGAUGUCUACUUCUCCGGUGAUGUGAGACUUGCCCGUGACUACCUCUGUCUCACCUGCUGGAGGCCGAAUCUGUUCCCCGCCCCCACCACCUCUUCAACGAGGCGACUAGGAGGAGCUCAGACUUGCAUGAUGAAGGCUGCACAAUCUCGCCCUUGGUCAGAUCUUCCGCCAGAACUCCUGGGACUUGUUCUCAAGCGCCUCCCUUCCCUAGCUGACCGUGUUCGUCUGAGAGCUGUCUGCCACCCAUGGCGCUCUAAUAGCAGGUUGCAGACCCUUCCUCUCCCAUUCCCGUGGCUCACUCUCCCUGAUGGCACCCUCCUCGGCAUUCCAAGCGGUGAAAUUCACCACAUAUCUUUACCGGAAGGUGCGUGUUGCCAGGGCUCCAUUGACAACUGGCUAUUCCUCAUGCACAAUGAUGGUGUGUGCUACUUGAUGAGCCCUUUCUCCAAGACCAGGUUGCAGCUUCCUAAGCUAGCAAAGGUAUGGAAGCGUGAGAUAUAUGAUCCCGAACCCCGAAUUAACCCAAUUUUCUACAACUUGGUGCUACCCUUUCCACUUGACUCGUCACCGUGUUCCCUACUUGCUGCACUGAUCAUGGAUGAUGGUAACUGGGGUACACUUUGUAUUAGUCAAUCACCGAUUGUCACUGACUCAUUCAGAGAUGAUAAGCAUCCAGCAAAGCUCCUCUGUAGUGUUGCGUUCUUUGAUGGCAAGCUGUACGGGCUGGGGGGGUUUGACCAACUAUUCAUCUUUGAAUUAGACAAGGACCUUGGUAUUUCAUCCAUGGAGUGUAUAAUUGACUAUGGGUGAGUUAGGUGGAAUACCUCAAUCGUUGUCGGAAGAGAAGGCGUAUAUGAUAAGGGGGUAUCUAGUUGAAUGUGGCGAUAGACUGUUGAUGGUGAAACGGUGGAUUCAUCCUAUUGCCCGUUCAACAAGUGAUGACUUUUUCGAGCAUAACCGUACUGUUGCACUUGGGGUUUUUGAGGCAGAUUUGGGCACCGAUCCUGCUGGAUGGAGAACAGUAAAUGAUUUGGAUGGCCAUGCACUCUUUCUUGGCCAGCAUAGCUCCAAGUCCCUGCGCGCUGGAGAAUGCAGUGGAUACCAAGAGGACUGCAUCUACUUCAUGUGUGACUAUUCCUGGCCAAAGCAUUCUGCAAAUCCUCUUCGUGAUGCCGGUGUUUACAACAUCAGGAAUCAGACAUUCAUGCCACUGAUGUCGGGGACUGCAGCGGUACCGCCACGUCAUGCUGGCCAGUGGCGUCCGACAUGGUUUUUCCCUCCUGAAGCUGUGUGACCAAGCCUUGUAAUCACUGAUCUUCAGAGUAAUUGUUGGAUAAUGUAUCUGAGAUGGAAGUUGGAAGGGCUUCGUCCUCACAGCGACAGGUGAGUUGUUGAUGGAUGGUAGAGAUUCGUAGUGUUAGUUUCUGUGUUGGUAGGCUGGUAGGUUCAGUUUGAUGAGUGAUGUGUUCUACCUGGUGGCUGUUGUUCUGUCUUGUGGUGGCUGAACUUAGUGAUCCUGUCCUAGUGUAGCGUUGUAACUGCUGUUGCCUGAACUUUUAAAAGCGGGCCGCUGUAUCAUCAGUUUUAUUUUAAUUAAAUUGGAGGGUGUGUUCUCCUUUCAUCAAAAUUUUCUUGUAUGAUGUUAGAUUCUGUAUUAGUAUGAUGAUAGAGAUGUUUUGCAUUUUCAAGUAUUAUGGAUGAUUUGUUUUUGCUGGUAUUA